UAGUCCACGCCGUAAACGAUGAUAACUAGCUGCUAGGGCCCACAGGGCUUUGGUGGCGCAGCUAACGCAUUAAGUUAUCCGCCUGGGGAGUACGGUCGCAAGAUUAAAACUCAAAGGAAUUGACGGGGGCUCACACAAGCGGUGGAGCAUGUGGCUUAAUUCGAAGCAACGCGAAGAACCUUAUCCUGGGUUUGACAUGCACGGAUUAGCCUCCUGAAAGGGAGGUGACACCCUCGGGUGGAACGUGCACAGGCGCUGCAUGGCUGUCGUCAGCUCGUGCUGUGAAGUGUCGGGUUAAGUCCCUUAACGAGCGCAACCCCUGUCGUUAGUUGCCAGCACUUAAAGGUGGGGACUCUAGCGAGACUGCCGGCGUCAAGUCGGAGGAAGGUGGGGGACGAC
Molecule: ribosomal RNA, 399 nt
Filed under: uncultured bacterium
Lineage: Bacteria
Description: bacterial SSU rRNA
Rfam family: Bacterial small subunit ribosomal RNA
Source: RNAcentral